RNAcentral lists this ribosomal RNA (468 nucleotides) under uncultured bacterium. RNAcentral's name for it is "partial 16S ribosomal RNA". It matches the Rfam family "Bacterial small subunit ribosomal RNA", at positions 28 to 507 of the family's 1533-position model. The record is from RNAcentral.
GACGAACGCUGGCGGUGUGCUUAACACAUGCAAGUCGAACGGAAAGGCCCUGCUUUUGUGGGGUGCUCGAGUGGCGAACGGGUGAGUAACACGUGAGUAACCUGCCCUUGACUUUGGGAUAACUUCAGGAAACUGGGGCUAAUACCGUAUAGGAGCUCCUGCUGCAUGGUGGGGGUUGGAAAUUUUCGGCGGUUGGGGAUGGACUCGCGGCUUAUCAGCUUGCUGGUGGGGUAGUGGCUUACCAAGGCAUUGACGGGUAGCCGGCCUGGGAGGGUGACCGGCCACAUUGGGACUGAGGUACGGCCCAGACUCCUACGGGAGGCAGCAGUGGGGAAUAUUGCACAAUGGGCGGAAGCCUGAUGCAGCAACGCCGCGUGCGGGAUGACGGCCUUCGGGUUGUAAACCGCUUUCGCCUGUGACGAAGCGUGAGUGACGGUAAUGGGUAAAGAAGCACCGGCUAACUACGUG